GAUCGUGAGCGCGACGCGUGGACGCGGGGAGAGGAGAGAGAGGGAGGCUUGGGAUCGAUCUGGCGCGGGAGGAGGGACAGGACGGCAGCAGCAAAGGAGGUGGGCCGGUCGGCGGCGGCGUGGAGGAGGCGUGGAGGAGGCGGGCCGGUCGGCGGCGGUGAGCGCGGGCAGAGGAGGCCGGUCGGAAGCGGGCGUUGGAGGGGGGAGGGCAAAAGUCUUCCCUUCCCUUCCCUUCUCUUCUCCCUCUCGCUCGCUCAGUCCGCUGCCCUUCCCUUCUCUUCUCUUCUCCUUCUCGCUCGCCCAGUCCGCUGCCGGUACCGGUACCGCGAGCGUCUAGGCGGCCGGGGCAGCAGCGGCGACGCGAGCGUCCACUCGUCGCGGCCCUCUUCGGCGCCCUCCUGCUCGAGUUGCCGCGGGGCCCGCGAGUGACGGUUCUUCGCCUCCUCCUUGAGCUGGACCUGCUGGCGGCGACCUGCUUCUCGGGGCUUUUUAAGGGGGUUGGUGCGGACGCGGUGGCGGAGAAGUGGAAGUUGGUGCCCAACGUCGCCAGUCUCCUGGUUCAACUUCGUAUGAACCGUUUACCCGGAACGGCACUCAGUACCACGUUGUCACUGGAGCUACUCGUCCCGUUACCAGUCUAUGCUCAGUCGUGGUUUCUACUGACCUUCGUGAGUAUUGUCAAAUGGUACGAUCUCGAUACAGUCCGACAUGUUCCCGUCAAUUACUUAUAUGAACACUGUGAAUAUGAGAGUCGUUACGGCUGUUUGUACCAAAUACUACUAUAACCACCAGACUUCGAAAUCUAGCAGCCCCGACGAGAGUAAGCAAGUUAAACGGGGACUAGGAAGGUAAGACGACGACGAGUAAUAAUAGUAUGCUUCCGACUAGAUACAAGAGACAAACAACCCAGGAGGCACAGUAAUAGUUGUUCCUUGUACAUAUAGGAAAGUUCAAGUGACUACACCAAUGGUGAUGUUGUGUGCAGGGAGGUUCCUGGUUCCCACCCGUACUAGAAGAUGUUCCAACAACAGACAUUGAUAAUCCUAUCCUAGUUGAAACGCCACAGGUGUGGCGAUGUUCAGUUCGAUUAUCUCUAUUUACCCAUAGGUUAAAAUCUUUCGUGUGAAUUCUUUGUACGCGCCCACAGAAAUCUAGGAUACCUCGUAAGGAUUAUUACUGGUAGAUAAAUUGAUGGAACCUAGUAACGGUAAUGUUUUACGUCGUACCGUAAGUAUUACAAAUCAAUAAGUAUUUACACCGUAAAUGAAGAAGAGGACCGUACUAUAAAUUCGUACAACGUAUAUGGUUAGACAACUACUAAGUUAAUAACUAAGACUACAUGUUUGUCCGUUUUGGUAAAGGACAAACCUACUACGUGUACCCAUACAAAAACAAUCAAAAGCCACUACAUGCAGCACUUCGUCCUGCCCGCCUGCCUCUGCCACGUGAAGUUGUUCUAGUACCACGCCGAGUUCUUUGAGUCGAUACCCGUGAAGCUGUUCUCGUGAUACUGGGCACGAGCAGCGCGUCUUCCAGACGCAUCUUCCAGACGCAGUCCCAUAUGUACCCACAGUGGUGGUCGGUCGAGCUGCUCGAGCGGCGGCUCUGGCGGCGGCGUGAGUGGCGGAGGGUCGGACUGAUACGGAGACAUGCAAGGGAGAAAGCUAAACAGAGAGGGGAAAACCAAGCAAGGCAAGGCAAGGGGGGAGUGCCGCGGGCACAAGCACAGAGGACGGGACUGCAUACACUCACACACCAAGAAGACGUCGAACGCCGCUCCUAACAACACAGGUUGGACGGCGGUUCACCUUUAUCAGACACACCGCGAGUAUUUAUUUCUCGUAAGAACAUCUUUCCAUGUUCUUUCUUAUCCCUUUGAAGACAGUAAAAGAAACCAGAGAAUUUUUAUUUACCACUAUACCCGACUAUGUAACGAUUUAAUGUACUAUGUUUGAGUGAAGAGAAAAAACUAAAAACCAAAUGAAGCAACACGAUGUUACCGAGAGGAUCCUUACAAGAAGGUACAAAACUACACGUGUUAUUAGGUCUUUCACGUACGUAGGUCUUUGGUUUAUCCUAAAAAACACACAAUAGAAGAGUAUUUAGAACACGAGCAGGUUAUUCUUAUUCCAAACCACCAUAACGAAAACAAACAGUGGGCCAUCUAAAGUCUGAAGUUCGAUCGACGUCAAUAAAGUCCAAUAUACACGUUUAGGAACCACACUGUACUAACCAUUGACUAGUGCUUAUGCAACGUUAGAGUAUACAGAUUAAGAAUUAAAUACACCAUGGUACCAGAUUUUUAACCAGGAUUUCUAUGUACUACAAAAACAUCUUUCAAUUCUGUCAAUAAAACUUUGCCUCCCACAUAAUAUAAUAAAACAAGGAAAAAUUAAACCAAGAUUUCUAUACCAAAGUCUCACUAGUAAAACGUAGUCGGUUCGAACGGCAACAAUGUUUAUCAACAAGACAACAGGAGUUAAGUGAAAGAGCCAAAAAAUUACGGUGUUCGUAAUAACAAAGUAAAAAAAUCAAUAACUAGUACGGUAAAAAGAAAGACGGAAACAUCGACUUUCUAAUCACUCUGACUGAUUUAAGAUUUGUACAAGGUACACUGUAUUUAUCGUAUAACUAAAGUAGAACUUUAUUAGUAUCGACUCCCUGCUCCAAGCAUUGGCUCUCAGUACACGUCUCGACCUCCUUCUUCAACGCUCCGAACCUUGAGAGGAACACUUUCCGAGUUCCUGUCGUCACUCCUGUUACGGAGAAAUCAACAUUAACACUAUGAAGACUACACGUUCAUUUGUGAGGACACUAUGAAGAACACGAUUUUACAACCAACAAUCAUGUCUCUACCACUGUAAUAAACCAAGAGAACCAUAACUAAAGUACUAAACACCAAUUAUGUACUACAUUAUGUUAAGUGUAACG
This 2931-nucleotide ribosomal RNA is filed under the name Triticum aestivum (bread wheat). RNAcentral's name for it is "partial small subunit ribosomal RNA". Lineage: Eukaryota; Viridiplantae; Streptophyta; Magnoliopsida; Poales; Poaceae. The record is from RNAcentral.